RNAcentral lists this ribosomal RNA (1244 nucleotides) under Iranian alfalfa phytoplasma K14. RNAcentral describes it as "bacterial SSU rRNA". It matches the Rfam family "Bacterial small subunit ribosomal RNA", at positions 153 to 1399 of the family's 1533-position model. Lineage: Bacteria; Bacillati; Mycoplasmatota; Mollicutes; Acholeplasmatales; Acholeplasmataceae. The record is from RNAcentral.
GAAACGACUGCUAAGACUGGAUACGAGAUACCAAGGCUUCUUUUUAUUCUUAAAAGACCUAGCAAUAGGUAUGCUUAUGGAAGAGCUUGCGUCACAUUAGUUAGUUGGUGGGGUAAUGGCCUACCAUGACUAUGGUGUGUAGCCGGGCUGACAGGUCGAACGGCCACAUUGGGACUGAGACACGGCCCAAACUCCUACGGGAGGCACUAGUAAGGAAUUUUCGGCAAUGGAGGAAACUCUGACCGAGCAAUGCCGCGUGAACGAUGAAGUAUUUCGGUACGUAAAGUUCUUUUAUUAGGGAAGAAAAGAUGGUGGAAAAACCAUUAUGACGGCACCUAAUGAAUAAGCCCCGGCUAACUAUGUGCCAGCAGCCGCGGUAAUACAUAGGGGGCAAGCGUUAUCCGGAAUUAUUGGGCGUAAAGGGUGCGUAGGCGGUUAAAUAAGUUUAUGGUCUAAGUGCAACGCUCAGCGUUGUGAUGCUAUAAAAACUGUUUAGCUAGAGUUGGAUAGAGGCAAGUGGAAUUCCGUGUGUAGUGGUAAAAUGCGUAUAUAUACGGAGGAACACCAGAAGCGAAGGCGGCUUGCUGGGUCUUAACUGACGCUGAGGCACGAACGCGUGGGGAGCAAACAGGAUUAGAUACCCUGUUAGUCCACGCCCUAAACGACCAGCACUAAACGUUGGAUAAAACCAGUGUUGAAGUUAACACAUCAAGUACUCCGCCUGAGUAGUACGUACGCAAGUAUGAAGCUUAAAGGAAUUGACGGGACUCCCGCACAAGCGGUGGAUCAUGUUGUUUAAUUCGAAGGUACCCGAAAAACCUCACCAAGGUCUUGAACAUGCUUUUGCAAAGCUGUAGAAAUACAGUGGAGGUUAUCAGAAGCACAGGUGGUGCAUGGUUGUCGUCAGCUCGUGUCGUGAGAUGUUGGGUUAAGUCCCGCAACGAGCGCAACCCUUGUUGUUAAUUGCCAUCAUUAAGUUGGGGACUUUAGCAAGACUGCCAAUGAUAAACUGGAGGAAGGUGGGGACGACGUCAAAUCAUCAUGCCCCUUAUGACCUGGGCUACAAACGUGAUACAAUGGCUGUUACAAAGGGUAGCUAAAGUGUAAGCUUCUGGCGAAUCUCAAAAAAGCAGUCUCAGUUCGGAUUGAAGUCUGCAACUCGACUUCAUGAAGUUGGAAUCGCUUGCCUCCCAAUCACCAGCCGCGGUGAAUACGUUCACGGGGUUUGUACACACCGCCCGUCA